RNAcentral lists this ribosomal RNA (468 nucleotides) under uncultured bacterium. RNAcentral's name for it is "partial 16S ribosomal RNA". It matches the Rfam family "Bacterial small subunit ribosomal RNA", at positions 28 to 507 of the family's 1533-position model. The record is from RNAcentral.
GACGAACGCUGGCGGCGUGCUUAACACAUGCAAGUCGAACGGAAAGGUCCUGCUUUUGUGGGGUGCUCGAGUGGCGAACGGGUGAGUAACACGUGAGUAACCUGCCCUUGACUUUGGGAUAACUUCAGGAAACUGGGGCUAAUACCGGAUAGGAGCUCCUGCUGCAUGGUGGGGGUUGGAAAGUUUCGGCGGUUGUGGAUGGACUCGCGGCUUAUCAGCUUGUUGGUGGGGUAGUGGCUUACCAAGGCUUUGACGGGUAGCCGGCCUGAGAGGGUGACCGGCCACAUUGGGACUGAGAUACGGCCCAGACUCCUACGGGAGGCAGCAGUGGGGAAUAUUGCACAAUGGGCGGAAGCCUGAUGCAGCAACGCCGCGUGCGGGAUGACGGCCUUCGGGCUGUAAACCGCUUUCGCCUGUGACGAAGCGUGAGUGACGGUAAUGGGUAAAGAAGCACCGGCUAACUACGUG